Molecule: long non-coding RNA, 1134 nt
Organism: Micropterus dolomieu (smallmouth bass)
Lineage: Eukaryota; Metazoa; Chordata; Actinopteri; Centrarchiformes; Centrarchidae
Exons: 2
Source: RefSeq, a predicted model, not a curated record
AGGUUUGGAGAGACGGAUGCUUCAUUCUUGACCUUCGUUUGUCGGAGCCACCAGUCUUCAGAUCCGGUUAAUUGCAACCUGGUGUGUCUCGACUCCGAGCUGCCGGAUCGGAGAAGACAAGAAGAACAAAAAGACGGAGAGAGGGAGUCAGAGGUGAGCCAGCUGAUCUCUGGAUUACAUUAAAAUUCUUCCCGUGUCACACUCACACACACUCUAGCGGGAAUCUCACAGGGUGACCUGGGAUUUUGGAGCGGAGGGGUCAAGGCCACGGAUCAUUAUCUGCUCUCGGCCAAGCGUCAGGAGGGGAUAACGGGGCCUCCCGGGGCUCCCAGGGGCCCAGGAGCUGAGUGAGUCAGCAUUCCAGGUCCAUUCCUCUCACUCUGCACCCUGACAGCCCGACGGACAGGCCCGGUCCCCAAACGCCCGCAGAAAUAGCCCUCUUUGCUUCAUUUUCGGUCUGCACAAUGCCACAAAGGCCUGAUGGGACGAGGCUGGAGUCCUUCAGCUUUGUCUCGACUCCGCCGGUGUGUUUUUGCUUGUCACACCGCCGUCUGAGCUGUGUUUCCUUUGGAAGAAAUCCCACUUCAGAGGCUCCUCUGGAGAAGACGUCGGUUUCCUGUCGCCGCAUACCAACGGUGACCCCUUACACUGAUCACUCUGCACUCUUUUUUUAAUGUAGAAACGUCUUGAUGUGGAUUCUGGAUGAACUUUGAGUCUUUGAGUUCACAACAGUCAACAUUGUCCCCUCAGAGCUCAUCAUAGUGAUGUUUCAGCAAGGUGAUUUAUUUCUAUUAAUGGGUGUUUUUACACAUAACCUGUUUGUGAAAGCCGACUGAACAACCAGACUGGGAACACCUGAAAUACAGACUGGUUUCAGUCAGACUCUGCUGCAGUUUGUGGUGUGAAAGCAAAGCAGACCAAACACAGUAUUUUAUGAUUUUAGCAUGAAAUUCCAGCUAAACUAUUAAAUCCCUCUUCUGCUCAUGAACUGUCAAGAUCCUUCAAACCAUCACACGGUAACGUACUUUAUCUGGACUCAAUAAACCCAACUACAGGCGUGUCAAAGACCUGUUCUGAGAAAAAAUUAUUACAUUAUUUAAAAAAACUAUUAAAGUUAAGUCCAGUAGAAAUCAA